Molecule: transfer RNA, 65 nt
Filed under: Tenebrionoidea sp. 12 KM-2017
Lineage: Eukaryota; Metazoa; Arthropoda; Insecta; Coleoptera
Description: tRNA-Pro
Source: RNAcentral
CAGAAAAUAGUUUAAUUAAAAUAUUAAUUUUGGAGAUUAAAGAUAAUAGUGUAUAUUUUUUCUGA